Cyprinus carpio (common carp) is the source of this 1010-nucleotide long non-coding RNA. RefSeq lists it as uncharacterized. The record is from RefSeq and is a predicted model, not a curated record. The transcript is spliced from 7 exons. NCBI's taxonomy places the organism in Eukaryota, Metazoa, Chordata, Actinopteri, Cypriniformes, Cyprinidae.
GUGAUAUUCCAAGUCUGGCCGCAGUGAACCUGACAGAAACCUUUGUUCCUAAAUAUCAUGGGCCACAUAAACUUCUGGCAUCUCUCGACUGUCCUCAGCUCACUCAGACCCCCAGCAGUACUUUCACAGACUUGUAUGGGGUCUCAACUAACUGAUGAAUCCACAUGUAGAAGUUUAUGUUCCAAACAGAGACCAACUUCACCUGGAGCUGAGACUUGGUCAGUCAUGGCUUUACUGUCCUUGAUGUUGUGAUCUUGUUCUCCAGCACGAUCCUGUUUACAGCCUGUGAUGGCUACGGCCACACAUCACCUCAGUUCUAAACAUUUGAUUAUUGUUUUAUUAUUUCAACUCCUUAGUUUGUUGCACUGAUUAUUAUUUACAGUCAUCUAAACUAUGAUAUCUAAAUAAGGAACACAAUACAGUUUUUUGAUUUGGUUUAUUUUGCUUUACCUUUAUAUAUCGAUUUACAGGGAGUGCACUAAUCACAUGUUUCUUUGUGUUGAGUUACCUGGACCUGUUGGGGGCGGUCCCUUCCUGGUUGGGCAAAAGGAGUUGCUAAGGGCUGAGGAGACCUAUAUCCGGGAGCCAGCUCAUUGGGCCAUACCAUGUUUCACCAUGUGCCAGGGGGGAUUUGUCAAGCUGUUAUAUAAGCUUUCUUCUGUGUCUUUGUGGCAGGAAAUGUCUUACCAGUACACAAGGAUAGUUUUGUGAUUGUACCUCUGGUGUCAGAAUUCAGGAACGAAGCAUGGGAGGCAAAAAACGUUGAACAGGCAAAAACCACAAGACUCUGUGUACAUGAAUGAUGAGGCAGAGAGAAUUGAGUAUGUACUGAAUGAUAUGGGCAAACUCUACAAUGGAACUGAGCAACAGAUUGGUACCAGAACCUGGAAUUUUGGAAAGUUUGAUUAAGGAGUCUUGACUGCGUGUUUCUUUGUGUUGGAGAAGAGUGGCAGCCCUUGCUCAGGAUGUUGAGAUCCUAUUAAUGUAGUCAGUGUGAUAUCUGCCAUGGU